UAGUUUGAUUUUUUUCCAGCUUGACUGAGAUAUUAUUGACAUAUAACGCAUGUAAGUUUAAGGUGUACAAUGUGAUGAUUUGAUACACGUAUAUAUUGCAAAAUGAUUGCCACAAUAACGUCAGUUAACACCACCACUCCCUCACAUAAUUACCACUUUUUGAUAACACUUAAGAUCUACACUCUCAACAACUUUCAAGCAUAUAAAACAGUACUGUUAAUUAUAGUGACCAUGCUACACCCCACUUUCUUCUUAAGGAAUUACUUACAGAUUGGAUCACGUGCUGUUUUGGGAUCCGAGGGGGGACUGAACUUUCCAGGUCCAGCUGCGUUUUCGGCACAUACUCUGAAGACAUAGGUGAAGAAUGUCUGGCGUUUCAUCAAAGAAUGAUUACCUAUGACUUUGACAUUGAUUGAGGCAGUUGCUGAGCCGAGCUUAUUCUCCACGGUAAUGGUGUAAACUCCAGCAUCUGCAUGGACACUCUUGGGAACUUCAAGGUCCAGCAAGAUUUUCAGCCAACACACGGAAUCUGUAUUUUUUCUUAUUGGUAAGACCUUUCACUCUGAAUUAGGAACAAAGUGUGAGUUGAAUACCACGAUAAGAAGGAGAAACCUCUGUUUAUUUCACAUAGAAGAAGCCACUUGAUUAAUGAGAAACUUACCAAACUGAUAUUUGGCUGUUAUUGGAGUGGCCUGAACUGGCUCACCAACACCGUACAUGUUUUCUGCAGCAACUCUGAAGAUGUAUUCUUUAUUGGGUGUU
Molecule: non-coding RNA, 762 nt
Organism: Delphinapterus leucas (beluga whale)
Lineage: Eukaryota; Metazoa; Chordata; Mammalia; Artiodactyla; Monodontidae
Source: RefSeq, a predicted model, not a curated record